Molecule: ribosomal RNA, 406 nt
Filed under: uncultured bacterium
Lineage: Bacteria
Description: partial 16S ribosomal RNA
Rfam family: Bacterial small subunit ribosomal RNA
Source: RNAcentral
AUUGAACGCUGGCGGCAGGCCUAACACAUGCAAGUCGAACGAGUGGCGGACGGGUGAGUAAUGUCUGGGAAACUGCCCGAUGGAGGGGGAUAACUACUGGAAACGGUAGCUAAUACCGCAUACCAUCGGAUGUGCCAAGAUGGGAUUAGCUUGUAGGUGAGGUAACGGCUAACCUAGGCGACGAUCCCUAGCUGAUCUGAGAGGAUGACCAGCCACACGGGAAGUGAGACACGGUCCAGACUCCCACGGGAGGCAGCAGUGGGGAAUAUUGGACAAUGGGCGAAAGCUGGAUGCAGCCAUGCCGCGUGUAGGCAGAAGGCCUUCGGGUUGUAAAGUACUUUCAGCGGGGAGGCGUUACCAGCAGAAGAAGCACCGGCGAACUCCGUGCCAGCAGCCGCGGUAAUUC